This 464-nucleotide ribosomal RNA is filed under the name Mauritia arabica immanis. Its description in RNAcentral is "partial 16S large subunit ribosomal RNA". It matches the Rfam family "Bacterial large subunit ribosomal RNA", at positions 1850 to 2577 of the family's 2925-position model. The record is from RNAcentral. Lineage: Eukaryota; Metazoa; Mollusca; Gastropoda; Littorinimorpha; Cypraeidae.
GAGUCGGACCUGCCCAGUGAAUAAUUUUCAACGGCCGCGGUACUCUGACCGUGCAAAGGUAGCAUAAUCAUUUGCCCUAUAAUUGAGGGCUAGUAUGAAUGGUUUGACGUGAACAAAACUGUCUCUGUAUAAUUUUUUAGAACUUGAUUUCUAGGUGAAGAAACCUAGAUAUUAUUGAUAGACAAGAAGACCCUAUUGAGCUUUAAAGAAACAAAUUGAGAAUAAUAUAUAAUUUUAGAUAUUAAUCUAUUUAAAAUUUUGGUUGGGGCGACUGUGGAACAAAUAAAGCUUCUUUAAUAUCAAAUAAACCCUCAGGUGUUGAUCCAGAAAUUCUGAUCAAUGGAAUUAGUUACCAUAGGGAUAACAGCAUAAUUUUCUUUGAGAGUUCUUAUCGAAAAGAAAGUUUGUGACCUCGAUGUUGGACUAGAAUAUCCUAAAGAUGCAGCAGUCUUUAAGGGUUGGUC